This 30-nucleotide non-coding RNA is filed under the name Mus musculus (house mouse). Lineage: Eukaryota; Metazoa; Chordata; Mammalia; Rodentia; Muridae. The record is from RNAcentral.
UAAUGAUUCCAAGGUGUCAGGUUCUCCUCU